AUUUAUAUAAUAUAAUUAUUAUUAUUUAAAGCUUCCAACUUUAAAAUCUUUCCAUAAGUAUAAAUA
RNAcentral lists this transfer RNA (66 nucleotides) under Scydmaeninae sp. BMNH 1274313. RNAcentral's name for it is "Scydmaenidae sp. BMNH 1274313 tRNA-Gly". The record is from RNAcentral. Lineage: Eukaryota; Metazoa; Arthropoda; Insecta; Coleoptera; Staphylinidae.